Molecule: ribosomal RNA, 485 nt
Filed under: uncultured bacterium
Lineage: Bacteria
Description: partial 16S ribosomal RNA
Rfam family: Bacterial small subunit ribosomal RNA
Source: RNAcentral
AUUGAACGCUGGCGGCAUGCCUUACACAUGCAAGUCGAACGGCAGCACGGGUGCUUGCACCUGGUGGCGAGUGGCGAACGGGUGAGUAAUACAUCGGAACAUGUCCUGUAGUGGGGGAUAGCCCGGCGAAAGCCGGAUUAAUACCGCAUACGAUCUACGGAUGAAAGCGGGGGACCUUCGGGCCUCGCGCUAUAGGGUUGGCCGAUGGCUGAUUAGCUAGUUGGUGGGGUAAAGGCCUACCAAGGCGACGAUCAGUAGCUGGUCUGAGAGGACGACCAGCCACACUGGGACUGAGACACGGCCCAGGCUCCGACGGGAGGCAGCAGUGGGGAAUUUUGGACAAUGGGCGAAAGCCUGAUCCAGCAAUGCCGCGUGUGUGAAGAAGGCCUUCGGGUUGUAAAGCACUUUUGUCCGGAAAGAAAUCCUUGGCUCUAAUACAGUCGGGGGAUGAGGGUACCGGAAGAAUAAGCACCGGCUAACUACGU